GGCUCCUCAUGGAACGCUGCGCUCCGCCGCCGCCCGCUGCGACGUUCUUUACUCCUCUGCCCCGUCCGUCUGCCGUCGCCCGUCCGCCCCGGGACUGCCAAUGCGCGCUGUGGCGUUCGUCGCCGCGCUGGCCCUGCUGGCAGCCUGCCGGCCGGCCGCCACCUCCUCUUCGCCCAACGGCACGGAGCCGGAGCGGCACGGGGGCCCGGGCCAGCGGGAGCCUGAGGCCCGCGAGGGCGAGGCCGCGUCGGGUCCCGACUACGAGGAGGAUGAGGAGUACGAGGAGGCGCUGCCCGUUCACCAGUACAUCGUGGACGACUUGAUCCGAGUUGAACCUGUGGUUAAACCCAAGCCAACAAAGAGGGGGGGUGAGAAGAAUGCCGGCAAAUCAAGAAGGAAGAAAAACAAAGGGAAAAACAAAAAGAAAGGGACUCCAUGCGAAAUGGAAUACAAAAACUUUUGCAUCCAUGGUGAAUGCGUAUACCUAGAACAUCUCCAGAUGGUGACCUGCAAGUGUCAUCAGGAUUUUUUUGGUGAGCGCUGUGGUGAACAGUUCAUGAAAACUCAAAGGAAGAAUGAUGUGGCAGACUACUCGAAGACUGUGUUGGUAGUGGUAGCUGUCCUGCUCUCGAGCGUCAGCUUCAUUACUGUACUUAUCAUUGUGAUAGUGCAGGUCAGGAAAAAGUGUCCUCAGUAUGAAGAGAAAGAAGAAAGGAAAAAACUUCGACAAGAAAACAGAAAUGGCCAUGUUGGUGUGUAAAUGAGGAGGAAGCAGGUAUGAAAGCUGACUUGAAAUGCCUUCCAGUCCUUCAAGGCUGGAGUUACCAUAUGAGAACUGCAUGCAUGUUUUGCGUAGCUCGUGUUUGCUUCUAAAGCUUGAACCGCCUUGAAACACAUAGGUUACGUGUGAAGGACUGGCUCAGUUUUCUGGUUUCCCGAAACCUUGAGCUGUGUGAAUUCAGCAGUGCUGUUUGCUUUAACACAGCAGCCAAAAAGCUAAAGUGAGGAUAGGAAGCUGUACCGUCAUGGGUGGACUUAGGAAGGAAAAAUCAAACCCUAAUAUCUGGGCAGAGGCAGGUUUAGUGCAAGAAACUAUGGUAGACUUCCAUCAUGGAAGAUGGUGCAGCAGCUAAAAGUGGAUCAUCACCCCAUGUAACAUAAGUACUGAGCAUUUUCAUGUCUUGUCUGCAAGGCAUCGUGAGUUUCGGGUGCUUAGAGAGCUGUAGACCAAGAAGCAGCUGCCAAUUCUGUGAGCACCAUAGGUAGCCUCUCGGUCAAAUUAAAUACUGUCAUAGCAACUGAGUGCUAAAGCUCCUUGGUCUAGGUGCAUCACUCCUGGGAGAGAUCUAGUGGACGUUAAUGAGCAAGCAAGUUGGUAUCUUCUGAGCAAAAGUGUACCUAGCAGCAGACUCGAGGACCCUUAUUGAACAGGAGCUAUACUACAAGCUGAAGGAGGAAACUAUAAAGGAUAGUCUUGAGAAGUUGUGGCAGCACUCGGAAGUUUCGCUUUGCUACAUGUCAGCUACAGACCUUGUCCCAGCUUUGUCCAGUGACAAUUGGAAUAUUUUGCUCAAAGCUGAGGAGUACCUAGCAGAGUGUCCUCAGAGCAGUUCUGAUGUGGCCACUGCUGAGCUGCAGAGUACCUCUGGCUACCUGACACAUCCACCUGGACACUGUGGGCUGGAGCUGUUGCCACUAAGCCCUGAUUCAUCAAGACAGAGGCUGCUGCAAGGAGAUGUCAACAUGCCACUUGCUGGGGAGGACAGCUGCCGUUACAUCUUGGCAGAAGGAUGUGGAAGGAGCUGCCGCUGUGGGGUGGAAGAUCUGCUAGAGGCUACUGCUACUGAGCCCUCUCGAUCAGUGCUGGAGCUCCAGUCUCUGCUGUUGUGUGGAUGGACUUUCUUCUGUUAGCAAGUCUCUUUGGGCAGCCCUAACCCAAAGGGAGAGAGCUUGUUGUGGCUUUCAGGAAUGGAUGGAGGGGAAAAAAUUCCAUUCCCUCUCCCACAGUUAAAAAGGGAAGAGUUCUGGAUGGCUUUUCUCCCUUGACCUCGGUGGAUGAGUAACCUAAUUCUGCUGUCACUGUGCUCCCUGUUGUUAUCAGCUUCCAGCAACUUCAUCUCUAGUUCUGACUUGCAGGGUGUUGGUGACAGAACUUUGUCAGCCACACCUGGGUUCUGUUACUGUAUGUGUGGAAAGUAAUCCCUCUGCAUUCAGUAGGACUUGUUGUGUGAGUGGAGCUAUCGGUUUGCGUGUGUGUUAGCGUGACUUGAAAUUAGUCUCUUUGGGAUGCUGAGACAGUAAAUGCAAGAGCUGAAGCUCUGUAUGUGAAGGAAAUGAUCCCUGCUCAAACAAGCUGAUAAGCGUGGACCCAUCUGUUAAAAACACAAAGCUACUUUGUUACUCGGAUAGACCAUGCUGCUUUAAGCAGCAUUUAAAGUACAAAAUGCUUCACAUCAGAUCCAGUCAGUUGAACUUGACCAAGAUCCUGUUCCUUUGAAGAAUGAAAUUCACACGCUGACACUCUGCAAGCAGUGGUUUCUUGUGCUCUACCUUCUGGUGCAAAGAACUCUACUUACCUCAAACUUUUCUGACCCCAGUGUCCUUGGUUUCUUGAAGUGUCCAUGCAGUCUUGAGCACAGAGUAUUACUUGAGUUGAGCCUCUUCUUGAAAGAGUGAAUGUGUUCUGUAUAAACAGAGCAGAAUUGUUCUGGUAGCAGAGAAACGCCAUUCAUUGUCAAGUCAUAUCUGUAAAUGUGUAAAUAUUUAUUUCUGUAUUUAAUAUUUAAUGUUUCCAUAACAAACUUAUUUAUUUUAUAAUUAAACUUUUUA
Molecule: RNA transcript, 2829 nt
Organism: Grus americana (Whooping crane)
Lineage: Eukaryota; Metazoa; Chordata; Aves; Gruiformes; Gruidae
Gene: AREG
Gene name: amphiregulin
Exons: 6
Source: RefSeq, a predicted model, not a curated record